AUGGAGUUUUAAGCCUAAAGGACAGUAUCCUACUUGCAGAAGAAGAUGGGAAAUGUAACAUUCCAUUAUCUUGCUUUGGAUUUAUGGAAAUUCUGAACAGUGAUGUGAGAGUGACUACAGUUUGAAGUAUCUGUUAAAUACAGCAACAUGACAUCACAAGGAUUGUUUUGGAGUCUUCUGGAUAUGAGAACAUUAUAAAAGUAACACUGAGGUAAGCACUCUUUUCAACCCUGUUUUAGGAAGGAGGAAGCUGAAGCCAUGCACUUGGAAGUGGUGGGAUGAUUACUUGAGUCUGGAGCUGUUUGACAUUACAGUCUCUACUUUUAACUACAAUACCAGAUGGCCUCUCAAUUGAUACCCAUUUUUUAAAAAUCUGAGUUAUUGCCUGUAGCAAUACAUAACAACAAUAGCUGCAAGAUUUCUGAGUUAUUCAGAAAGAUUUUUCAUUCUGUUUAUAUCAGAGAUGAGACUAGAGUUUAUCAUUUUUGGUCUUCUAAUUUGUGAACAGCUCUACAGGUAUUAGGUGGACAACACCUAAAUAAAUU
Molecule: long non-coding RNA, 545 nt
Filed under: Homo sapiens (human)
Lineage: Eukaryota; Metazoa; Chordata; Mammalia; Primates; Hominidae
Description: HSALNT0376163
Source: RNAcentral